Molecule: long non-coding RNA, 376 nt
Organism: Columba livia (rock pigeon)
Lineage: Eukaryota; Metazoa; Chordata; Aves; Columbiformes; Columbidae
Exons: 3
Source: RefSeq, a predicted model, not a curated record
CUGUGCCUUGGCCACUCUCGAUCUUGAGGGAACCGAGAUCGCAGAGUUUUUGGCUCAUUCCUGAGCAAGGAAGAUGCUUGUUACCUGCACCUCAGCAGGUACCAAGGGACACACAGAGAAGGUUGAACGUCUGAACGGGACGAUGAAGGUUCUCAAGGCAACAACCUUGGUGCUGCUCCUUGGUAUCUUCUCUUUCGGUAUUUACCACUUGGGCCAACUUGGCAAAGAAAGCCUCUGGAGCACCGCAGCACAGUUACAAGACCUGAGCAAAACCCUGUCCCUGCCAGACCAGCUCCAUAAGCUCCAGGAACAGCUUUACCAUCUGCGCUGGAGCACCAAGGAUGUUGCGGAGCAGGCUCUACAGGAAGGCGUGAAG